This is a non-coding RNA of Castor canadensis (American beaver), 556 nucleotides long. The record is from the annotation of a RefSeq genome assembly. NCBI's taxonomy places the organism in Eukaryota, Metazoa, Chordata, Mammalia, Rodentia, Castoridae.
GCAGAGCUGGCAAUCCUUUUACAUGUCAUGGUUCUCAAGGAGUAAACUGCCCCUCCAAGCUGUCAUAGAACACUUCUGUCUGCUUCUCUACUUCCUACAAGGUCAGCCAACGGUUGCCCCUGCAGUCACUCUCUUCCCACCCUCUGCUGAGGAGCUCCAGACCAAAAAGGCCACACUGGUGUGUCUGAUGAGUGACUUCUAUCCCAGUGAUGUGACUGUGGCCUGGAAGGCAGAUGGAAAUCCUGUCACUCAGGGUGUGGAGACCACCAAGUCUUCCAAACAGACCAACAGCAAGUAUGUGGCCAGCAGCUACCUGACCGUUACACCGGACCAGUGGAAAAGUUUCAAAGCAGUCACCUGCCAGGUCACACAUCAAGGGAAAACCGUGGAGAAGAGCGUGUCUGCUUCCGAGUGUUCCUAGGUACCCAUCGCUAAACCCACUCUCAGGGACUGACACCGAAGGUCCCCAGAAGGUGCCCCAUCUCCUAUCCCUAGCACUCCAAGUCCUUCCCUCUGAUCACAAUGACUGCUCAAUAAAAUACUGAUUGUCUAUCAA